Molecule: ribosomal RNA, 433 nt
Filed under: uncultured bacterium
Lineage: Bacteria
Description: partial 16S ribosomal RNA
Rfam family: Bacterial small subunit ribosomal RNA
Source: RNAcentral
AACGAACGCUGGCGGCAUGCCUAAUACAUGCAAGUCGAACGAGAUCUUCGGAUCUAGUGGCGCACGGGUGCGUAACGCGUGGGAAUCUGCCCUUGGGCUCGGAAUAACUUCUGGAAACGGAAGCUAAUACCGGAUGAUGACGUAAGUCCAAAGAUUUAUCGCCCAAGGAGGAGCCCGCGUAGGAUUAGCUAGUUGGUGGGGUAAAGGCCCACCAAGGCGACGCUCCUUAGCUGGUCUGAGAGGAUGAUCAGCCACACUGGGACUGAGACACGGCCCAGACUACUACGGGAGGCAGGAGUAGGGAAUAUUGGACAAUGGGGGAAACCCUGAUCCAGCAAUGCCGCGUGAGUGAUGAAGGCCUUAGGGUUGUAAAGCUCUUUUACCCGGGAUGAUAAUGACAGUACCGGGAGAAUAAGCUCCGGCUAACUCCGUG